CCGCUCCGACUCUUUGGCCAAGAAUGGGCGCCGCGCUCAGGAGGGUUGCCGGUGCAGGAAGCAGGUGUUCUGAUUUAUGCCUUCGUGACCCUUCUGGCUCUCACAAGUUGUCAUAUUGAUGUACUCCCUUCCUAAAUGAAAACGCCAUCGGAGCGAGGACGUGACUUGAUCACCACCUUCUCCUGGUGAAUGAAUGACUAUCUUUUAGAAAUCUGGUUCAGCCGUUCUCAAACUUUUUGGUCUUGGCACCCCUUUACACUUAAGAAUCACUGGAACAUUAAAGAACUUUCGGUUUGUAAAAUAUGUGUACACACAAACACACACUUUUUUUUUAAGAAAUACGAAAAAAAUUUUAAUGUAUUCACUUAAAAAAUAACCAUAGGAGUUCCUGUUGUGGUUAAGCGAUGAGGAACCCGACUAGUAUCUAGUAUACAUGAGAAUGCAGGUUCAAUCCCUGGCCUUGCUCAGUGGAUCGGUGUUGUUGUGAGCUGUGGUGUAGGCUGGUAGCUGUAUCCGAUUCAGCCCCUAGCCUGGGAACUUCCAUAUGCCACAGGUGUGCCCCCACCCCCCGCCCCCGCAAGGAAAAGCAAUAAACCCAUUACAAGUAAUCAUUAGAACAAGGAUAUCACAUAUCUUGUAGCUUUUAUAAAACUCCACUGUAUACUCACAGGAGAAAGUGAAGAGAAAUAGCGGUGAAUAUUGUUAUGCAAAUACUUUUGACCUUGUUUCCCCUGAAAGGAUCCCAGGAACCCCCGGGGACCACACUCUGAGAACCUCUAUCUAGUCCAACAUCCUCCUUUUAUUGAUAGGAAUGUUGAGGUCCAGAAAAAUAAGAUAAAGACACACCAUUAUUCCCUAAAGGUAACUGUUUUGAAUCCAGGGUUCUUCUGCAUCUAGCCCGGGGUCAUAUUAUUAUGUUUUCCCAAGCAAAGCAGAUAACAUCUCUAUUUAAAUAAGAAAGCUGUGGUAUGGAGAGCCCACGAAGAUGCCUGAUCACCACUACCACCUAGUGGUGGACACCUGCUGUGUCGGGUUUGGAAUUCAGAGCCUCCCACCUUUUCCUACUGGGCCUCAUCCCCUCCUCUCCUGAUGUCUGGAUGGGGGCUAGAAGCUCCAGAAAUCUGGCGGAGGAGGCAAGGAAGCAUAUAUGUGUGAAAAUAUAAAUGUGGAUACAUUUGGGUCACAUUUGGCUAGAUGCUGAUGUGUGCCCUUUGUUGAGUGAUAUGUUAUGGGCCAUGAGGGACAGAAACAUUCCUCAGGAUUGAUGCAGUGAAGGAAAGUCUUAUGGAAGAGGUGACGUUUGAACUGGGGGAAGAUGGGAGGCAUCGGAGGCCCGGAAGUGGGUGGAGAAAGCAAACCUCUGCAAGGCUGUCAGGUUGAACAGAGCAGUAGUAGUGGUGGCAGAUGUAAAGUUGACCCCACUAAGUUUAUGAGCCAGACAAAAAUGCCUGUAAACAAACCCAGAUGAACCAUAAAGGACACACAUUUUACUCACAUUAAGCUACCACACAUCUGACUAGAGAUGCUAUAAAUGCCAGAUAGUUAAUUUAAAAAAGAAGGCUAGAACCAGAUGAGGAUAAAAUGCCCCCAGUUGGGGGGAACUGGGCAGUUUGAAAGAGAAAAGGAGGGAACUCAGAUGAAAGGCUAGAGGAUGAUUAAGAAUGAGAAAUGGUAGGAGUUCCCUCUCAUGGCUCAGUGGGUUAAGGACCUGGCAUUGUCACUGCUCUGGCUCAGGUUACAGCUGUAGUAUGUUCAAUCCCUGUCCCUUCUGCAUGCCCUGGGUGUGGCCAAAAAAGAAGGGGACAAGGAAUGGUACAUGCUUAUGCCUCAUCUGAACCUCUUCACUCUGUUCCUGGCUUAUUGUGUCCUGACUUCUUGUCUGGCCUCCCCAUUCAAUCUAAAGUGCCUGUUUAAUCUGCUUAGAUCCCCCUUUCCACCUGACACUAGCCUGCUCAAAAUGUUCCAUGGCUCUCCAUUAUCAUCAGAACAAAAUCUAAAUGUCCCAGCUGGUCCUUUAAAUCCUGCCACAGUAUGGCCCCAACCUACCUUUCUAAUGUUAUCUCCAAGCACUCCUCUCUGAGACCCUCAUCAGAUUAGUUGAUUCAGCCAUCCAAAGACACCUUAGACUCUUCUCUUCCCCCGACUCCAUUUAACAUCUCUGGAAGUGGUCAGAACCUCCCUCUGCCUGCUCUAACUACAUUGCGUUUGCUGUGAGGAAAACUAAUUUUCGUGUCCUUACUGACCACUCUUUGCUACUAUUUAUGCAUUCCUCCCAGAAAAAUCAUAGCGCUUAUUGUGUUUCUUCCACUCUUUUGGCACUAGGUCACAUAACAACCAAACAGUGCUGUUACUGAUGAUUAUCAAACAAUUUUGAGUUUUUACAAAUUGAUAGCUCAUAAGUGAUAAGACCUUUAAAAUAGGAAAAUGAGUAUUCAGUGGGAAAAAAAGCAAGCACUGUCAAUAGAGUCUCCAGAAAUUGCUCUGUAUGUACUAACAAACACAGAGCACAUCAACUCACUUGAAUUUUUAAAAUUGUGGUAAAAAUACACAUAACAUAAAAUUUACCAUCCUAACAAUUUUAAAGUGUAGAAUUCAGUAGUAUCAAGCACAUUCACAUUGUUAUCAACCAAUUUCCAGAGCUUUUUCACCUUCCAAAACUGGAAGUAUACCCAUUAAACAACUCUCCAUCUCCCUCUUCUCCCUCCAGCCACCAUGCUCCUUUCUGUUUCUGAGUUUGACUACUCUAAAUAUCUCAUAUAAUUGGAAUUGUACAAUAUCUGUCUUUUUUGUGACUGGUUUACUUCACUUAGCAUAAAGUCCUCCAGGUUCUUUCAUGCUGUAUGUAGCAUGUGUCAGAAUUUCCUUACUUUUUAAGGCUAAGUGAUAUUCUUUUGUGUGUGUGUGUGUGUUCAUUCAUCGAUAGACCCAUAGGUUGCCUCCACCAUUUGAUUAUUAUAAAUAACGCUUUUAUGAACAUGGGUGUACAAUUAUCUCUUCAUGAUCCUGCUUUCAAUUCUUUCUGAUAUAAACCCAGAAGUGAAAUUGCUGAUUCAUGUUGUAUCAAUUCAUUUUUAAUUUUUUUUUUUUUUUGUCUUUUUGCC
This 3101-nucleotide long non-coding RNA is filed under the name Sus scrofa (pig). RNAcentral describes it as "lncRNA (ENSSSCG00030014530.1)". The record is from RNAcentral. Lineage: Eukaryota; Metazoa; Chordata; Mammalia; Artiodactyla; Suidae.